This is a long non-coding RNA of Coregonus clupeaformis (lake whitefish), 856 nucleotides long. RefSeq lists it as uncharacterized. The transcript is spliced from 4 exons. The record is from RefSeq and is a predicted model, not a curated record. Lineage: Eukaryota; Metazoa; Chordata; Actinopteri; Salmoniformes; Salmonidae.
UCUUGACCAUAAAGGAUAUUACACAUAUUACUUCCUUUUUUCCCCUGCACUUGAUACUGACCUUAGGAUGCUUCAUAAAUCAGGGAUGGGACACUAAUACAUAAGCAUUGUGUGGAAUUGGAGCAAGUCACCUAAACCAAACAAUGGAUGGAGGUAAAAGACAACGUUGAAAUAAUUUCAGUGACUUUGAAAAAACCCUCUUGAAGCUAAUUGUGCCAAUCCAGCCAAUGAUCGAGAACAAACAGCAUUAUUCAUCAACAGAAAACAAGAAAAUAAUGGCUGGCCUACCAUUUUGUAAUGAAAUCAACUCAAAUGAAAAAGUUUACAAAAGGACACUGCAACAACUUCAGAUCCUGUGGAAAAACAUAAAAAUCAACUUAAAGAAGACAAAUGCUGUUGCUCUUAGGGAGCAUUUCAAGACUGAAUUUCGACGACAUUCUUUGAUGGCCAGCAACCCCUGGAAGGUAUCCCCGAUGAUGACCAUUUGGACAAUUCAGAUGGGCGACCAUUAAAAUCCUCAUUUGAGGCAGAUGAUCAACAUAGCUUGGAGGGGAUAAGACAGGAUAAAGGUCUGCCCAGCACCCAGAAGGAAAUAUUGUGUCACUAACCCAGGCCGAAGGACAAAGACAAAAAGGCUGAGCAUGCAUGAGAAAGUGGCCGUGGAAUUUCAUGUGCGUAAACAAAUGUAUUUAAAAGAAGAUUUUGAUAUGAAGAUGAAAAUCCUUCAUGUUGAGUUGGCUAUGAAGGAGGAGGAGAGAAACAGGAAGCAGCAGCAGUACCAAUGUUCUUCUCAAACCAGCACCAGUUCAGGGUCCUGACAUUUCCAUUUAUGAAUUAAAAACCUUUUUGUUACUAA